AGAAUUGGAAAAUGCAUGAGCUUCUAAAAGGGAGGAGAGAGGACACUGUGAGGAAAUAUUGUAUGGACCAAAACAAGAUCAAAACUCAGCAAGGUCAACUCCAAACCCUGUAGAUCCACGUCUGGUGUGAAUGGACUUAGGCGGUUCCAUCCUUCCUGCUUUGUUGACUACAGCACUGGUUCCAUCCUCGUAUGUCGUGCUCCUUGGCAUAUAUCUAAGGCUCUGGCUUCUCCAGCAUCUUGGGUCUCAAUUACAAUCCAUACUUCACUUACCCGCUUCAUGCAACAACUCCUCUGGGCCUCCAUGCCAAGACUCGCCGACCACACACUUGGCCUGGGCAGCUCUCUUUUACCUCAGUGGAAGAGUUCACAGUCCCCUUCCUCCUGCAUCCUUCUCGACUCUGAAGCCAGAAUCGUGUAGAACCACGUGGCCGACAUUGCCCAGCUCUGGUGACUUGCUUGGCUUAGAAUCUGGCUCUGUCUUUGAAUUGAAUUUGCAUAAGCUUUUACUUGCUGUUGCUCAUUAAGAACUGGUCAGCCCCAGAAGUCCUGCCCUGGAACUUGCAGUGUCUCUAGGUGACCUUGGAUGAUAGGCAUAUGCCCGACAUCAACCCAGGAUGUUCUUGCAUGAUGACUUUUCAGCGAAACACACUUAAGAUUGGCUUCCUCAGACCUCGAGGUCCUGUGGGUAAGUGAAGUAAAAGCUGCCUGUUCUCCUUCCACUUCAGAUACAUAAAGGUCACUGGCUGCUGCUGAGCACCUGGGACAAGGCUGAUGGUGUUGAAGUCUUCCAGCCUUGGGCUGGGCUGCCGUGGAGUGCUGCACAGGAAGGCAGAUGUGGGGCAAAGGCUCUUAGGCCCCCAGCACCCGCUGAGGAGGAAAAUGAGCCUGGACGGAGCACACCUGGUCCAAACGAAAGCACCUGGCCUGGGCCUGGAAAAUACACGGCAAACCACUCUCCAGCUUCGAUGGGCCCUUCCUUACCUUGCCUCCACUGUCUGUCUCUCCCAGUCUAGAUGCACGACCCUUGGUGGGUUCCUGGCAGUGGACAGGGCAGACCCUUGGUGGGCUGAGAGCAAAAUAGCCUGGUGAAACCCCCAGAGGAGAGAGAACUCCUCACCCCCUUCUCAGUAAGCAUGUAUCUAUGUGAGAUCUGGACAAAUCCUCCCCGGGAACACAUGUGUAUUACAGAGGUAAGGAAGUAGAUUCCCUACUCUGUACCCUGGAAAAAUAAAGGACCCACCCAAAUUCAAA
Non-coding RNA from Myodes glareolus (Bank vole), 1253 nucleotides. Lineage: Eukaryota; Metazoa; Chordata; Mammalia; Rodentia; Cricetidae. The record is from RefSeq and is a predicted model, not a curated record.